CAGAAGAGCGUUAGGGAGGAGAUAAGGUUAGAGCCCUCAGGCAGAAAGCAAAGACUCUGGAGAGACGCCUCCAUGGCCAUUUUCAACAUAUACUCAUGAUGUAAAAACCAAAGAAAAAAAUCAGAGUCAGUUCUGAGACUUCUAAAGUCUAAACACCCCUGGAAGUCCUAGAGAACUUGCCAGAACACCAUCAAAUACAAAGGGAAAGAUUAAAAUUUGCCAACAAGCCACUUCGCCAACUAGCACUGUAAACAGCCCGGACCUGUCUGGAUCCAGCCCACCCCUCCUUCCCACCCACCGCUCCCGCCCAGCGGGGCCCUCACCACUCUGAUGACCCAUCUUCCCACCUCCUGCCUGUGCCCCACGAACACGCCUCCUGGAACCCAUCCUGCCGCUCCAUUCCCCCAUCCUUUCUACCUAUUACAUCACCCUCUUCCUGGCCCAACUCAAAUGCACCCUCUCCUCCUUGCAUAAAGCUCCCAGACACAAAUGAUCCCUCACCUCCUGGCAUUCAUGGAGUGCUUUGUACCUACCUUUCUCCUAGCUUGGGAUGUAUGUAUAUGCUUCAGUUCCCCUACUGGGUUACAGUCUUCUCGAGGACAAGGGACACAUCUCCUCCCUCACCUGCCACUAGACACUCCACAAAGGCUGGGCCUUGUUUCUCUAGCUCAUCUCUACGUCCCCAGGCCCACUGUGGGUUGUUGGCCUAAUGGCCAUCCCCACUCCCUUCCUCCUUGCCUGUGGAACCCAGCUCGCCUGACACAGGGUGAAAAUGCCAAUGACUCAUUUCCCAGCCUCGCUGGCAACUCAAGCAUGAACUUGAGACGGGGCUUGGUCACUGAGACACAAGGUGAUGCCUACCAGGGAGCUUCUGGGAAAACAUCUCCCCCCAUAUCCAUACUUCCUUUCCCUUUCUGUUCUCUGAUGUCCUCAUGCGAGGACGUAUGCUUGCAGCUGGGGUAGGCAUCUUACAGACGAGAAGGGAAGGCCCACAGAGGUUGGACCAGAGUACUGACGCCACCCUGCUGCUCAACCAACCCUAAGACUGCCUACUUCACGCGUUAUGAGAAGAAAAUAACAAACGCCUAUUGUUUAAGCCACUUUGUUACUUGCAGCCAAAAACACCUAACAGAUACAUGUAGUUGUUGACUCAUGUUCAUUCAGCACCCACCCUGUGCCAGGCAGAGCAGGGGGCCUGGGCACACAAGUGCUUGGAGCUCAGGCCCGGCUCUCUUGUGCCACUUCUCACCCACGGGACUCUGCCAGGCACUGUCAUCCUGGUACCUGCAGUUAUUUGUGGCAGCCGAAUCAUAAACAAAAAUUUUUUGCCAGAACAUUCUGAAGAUAUUGAUCCCAGCCUACAGGGGAAAGGUCAAUAACUCGAUGUCUAAUGCUGGAAAUUUUCCCCGAAACAAGCACGAUAAAGCAGGACGUGCAGCCGAAUAAACCUUCCACACGUCAGUCUCCCAGAAGGCCCUUCAUGAUCCCAAAGGUGCCUACCAAUGCCCCCAACGAGGCUCUCAAAAUGCUGUUACCGAAAAGAAGGAACUUCUUCACUCUCCGGGUUAGAUGUAGUGAAAACUGCCCAGGGCUUACAAAGAGAAGGGCUUUACACAGCCUAGAAGGACCUCUCUUCCUAAAAGCAGCUGUCUAUGUUGAUUAUUAAAUUUCCCAGUUACUAAAGGCUGGAGCUGUGCUGUCAGGUGCAAGAGCCACUAGCCAAGUGUGGCCACUGAGAGCGAAGCCUGGCCGGUCCAAAGCAAGAGUGCUGUAAGGAAAACAUGCUGGAUUUCGAAGACUUGGUACAAGUGAAAGAAGCAGAGGUGAACACUGAGCUACCCGAGACCUCCGCGAGGCAGGAUGGUGGCUAACGGACGGAUGCUGAGCCAGACUCCAUGGGUUUGAUUCCUGGCUCAGCCACUUCCUAGCUGUGUGCAUUUGGGUGUUACAGGAGUACCUACCAGCAUGUCAGAGUCUUGAAACGUGGCACGAGGAAGGAGCCCCAGGGAGGUGACG
Molecule: long non-coding RNA, 2016 nt
Organism: Balaenoptera musculus (blue whale)
Lineage: Eukaryota; Metazoa; Chordata; Mammalia; Artiodactyla; Balaenopteridae
Exons: 3
Source: RefSeq, a predicted model, not a curated record